This is a long non-coding RNA of Oryza sativa Japonica Group (Japanese rice), 741 nucleotides long. RefSeq lists it as uncharacterized. The record is from RefSeq and is a predicted model, not a curated record. NCBI's taxonomy places the organism in Eukaryota, Viridiplantae, Streptophyta, Magnoliopsida, Poales, Poaceae.
CCGUCAGUAACCGUUCAUCCCGCUUCCUCUCAUCCUCACCCUGAUUUUUCGGAUCUUGAGCAGCCUCGGCGAUUUCCGGUGGUGGCCUGGUGGUCGUCGGCAGGGACGCCAUCCUCCGUCCGCCGGAAGAGAAUGAUUAAGUGAUGUCGUCGGCUGCCUUUCCUCCCACAACCUUUUUUCAAGGCAGUUGGGGAUCUGAAAUUGAAUCCAAUCACUUCUUCAUAGCCGGUGAAGGAGGGGCGGUGGAGGCCAUCCAUAUGCUGCAACAUAUCCGGCGGCCAUCCAUAUGCUGGGAGCCACAGCGUCGCCUGUGGUGGGAGAGGACGCCACAUAUCAGAUCCAGCACGGAUAUCGGCAGGCACUACUGGUGAGUGUCUAGAUCGUAAAUGGAAUUCUACUCCUGCAAAGCACAUAGCAAUCUGGUGAAGUUGUAUCCCAGUUACAUCUUAGACGUUCCUCUGACUGAACCCGCUGCAAGCUUCACACGAGACUCUGCACCGGCAAGUGGCGAUGCCGCCGGCGUUGAUUUGGCUGUGCUAGCUAAACAAUAAUUAUUCAUUGUGAUUGUCCAUGAGAGUAUGGAUGUGUAAUUUUUCGUUCGUAGUCAGUGUUGCUGAUGUAACAAUCAUCAGUAAAAAGAUAAUCUAUUGAUUGAUAUUACCUAUGUAACCUUUUAUCUGAGGAGAUAUUUUGAAGAUUGAAUGUGUAAUAUGUAUAGUAAAAAAAUUACUAUCCACGUAC